RNAcentral lists this long non-coding RNA (1039 nucleotides) under Panax ginseng (ginseng). RNAcentral describes it as "long non-coding RNA (PGIN_LNC007798)". Lineage: Eukaryota; Viridiplantae; Streptophyta; Magnoliopsida; Apiales; Araliaceae. The record is from RNAcentral.
ACCAAAAAUAAGUUUUCUUUUCAUAAUAGACAUCAACAAAUAAUAAAUAUACUAUUAAAAAUAGGACAAUUUCCUUUCCAUCACAGCAAUUCUUUCUAAAUAUGAUUUGAGAAGUUACCUAACAACUUCUUCAACCACCCCCCUCCAAAUGAAACCUGAAGAAUCAUACAUACAUUACUAAGUGAAAAUUACAUACUUCACAGACCAUAGAGUUCAUGAAUUACACUAAAGAUGAUACAUACAAUAUAUUUGCCUUGAGAUAUAUUUCAAGAUACAGGGAUUACUUCAAAGGGGCUUUAUAAUUGAACUUACAAAGGCAAACACAAAUGAUUAAAGCCUCCCUUCUUACAACAAGUAGAAAAUAGAAGAAUGUCUAAAGUAAAAACCAACCUGCUGAUGUUGGAGAACCCUUGCAUAUAUCCAUUCCCGUAUAAACAUCAUCAUGAGGUGAAAACAAAAACAUAGUUUAUAAUUUAAACACAAAAACCAGAUUGAGCCGUCCCGCCAAUAUCACACUGCAGCCAUCGCCGCCGCCGCCGCCACUACCACCACUAUGACCAUAAAUGAUACAUAGGAGGAUGUCAAUUAGUGAAAAGUUGAAAAGGCAAGUUUUUACAACAAACCCAACAUUUCACACAAGCUGUAUAAAGCAUUCUCAUGAAUAAUGAGACAGCCCUCAUAAUCUGACUCUGCCGCCUUUCUAACCACCUCCUCGGGCGCUUGCAGAAGAACCCUAUCAUCACAGAAGCGCACCAACUUAGAGAAAAAAAAGGUGGGAUUUUUAAAUUAAACUUCUAUCUUCUUCUUGAGAGAGAGAGAGAGAGCUCAAAAGGGACGUUGGGGGUGCAUUUUGAUCAAUAGGAUCAAGAACUACACAAGUAGAUGAACAAAACAUGGGGAUUAAUUUGAUGGCAUUCUUGUCCUGUUUUGAAAACCCCAAAAAAGAAAAAUGUUGUUGAGUACACAAAUAAGAAGCUAUUACACAGCUCAGGACAUGAGAUAGUAGAGAGAGAGAGAGACAAGAGGAGGAGAAGGANNN